GGGGUACAGGCAGGGUACAUCUUAAAAUUAAAAUUAGAGGGGCCGGGCAUGGUGGCUCACGCCUGUAAUCCUGGCAUUUUGGGAGGCUGAGGCAGGCAGAUCACUUCAGGUCAGGAGUUAGAGACCAGCCUGGCCAACAUGGUGAAACCCGUGUGUACUAAAAAAAAAAAAAUACCAAAAUUAGCCGGGCGUGGUGGUGUGAGCCUGUAAUCCCAGCUACUCAGGAGGCUGAGGCAGGAGAAGCGCUUGAACACAAGAGGCGGAGGUUGCAUUGAACCGAGGUCGCGCCACUGUACUCCAGCCUGGGCAACAAGAAUGAAACUCCAUCUCAAAAAAAAAAAAAAAAAAAAAAAAUUAAUGUGCUGGGUGAGACUACAUAUACCUCCUAUCUAAUGAAUGGAGAGCAAUUAGUGCAGCAAGAGUAGAACAUGGUGGAGACGAUUUGUUGGCAGAGAUUUGGGUGAUCAGCUGAUUCCAAACCCAGCACGGUGAGAGCUGCAUAUUCCCCCCCAGCCUCUCUCCUAGGCACCGUGACCUGCACCCCGUCCCCUCCCUGCUGGAGCCGCACAGUGGCUGAGUGUCGCAAUCAUGUGAAAGUUGUUCCUGCCCAGCACACACCGUCGAAAACCUGAAGCAGACUUCUUUUUCUUUUCUUUUCUUUUUAAAAAAAUUUCCCUCUGAAAAACUUUACAAGGCAUCUGUGUGUGGCCCACUUCACUGGAUAUGAAAGUAAUAAGAAGCACCUCAAAAAUACUGUGCUAAGCACAGUAGCAGUGGAACUAAAGGAUGGUCCUUGGGGACAUUUGAUAGCUUUUGAGGGCAUUGCUUUUGAAAUGACUGAACCCAGUUCUUCAGCAUUCUCUGGAGAAGAGAUGGCAGGAGAAGCUGUGACAUCAGAGAUUCCUGCCGGUGUCUGAGUUUUGUUCCUCUCCUUGGUGCUUCUCACAAAGAUCCAAUCCUAAAGUAAUAGCUGAAGGACACUCAAUAGAGGGAAGGGUUAAGUAAGAUUUCCCAUCAGGCAGGAAGUUGGCCAGGCACAGUGGCUCACGCCUGUAAUCCCAGCACUUUGGGAUGCUAAUGUGGGAACUGAGGUGGGAAGAUUGCUUGAGGCCAGGAGUUUGAGACCAGCUUGGGCAACACAGUAAGACUCUGUCUCUACAAAAGAAGAAGAAAAACAUUAGCCAGACAUGGUGGUGCAUGCCUGUAGUUCCAGCUACUCAAGAGGCUGAGGCUGGACGAUCACCUGAGCCCAGGAGUUUGAGUCUGCAGUGAUCUGUGAUCAU
Molecule: long non-coding RNA, 1283 nt
Filed under: Piliocolobus tephrosceles (Ugandan red Colobus)
Lineage: Eukaryota; Metazoa; Chordata; Mammalia; Primates; Cercopithecidae
Description: lncRNA (ENSPTEG00000034073.1)
Source: RNAcentral